AAUGGUUCGUGUCUGGGAUAAUGGUAUAUAUACGAGAUUGAUUUGACAGCUGUCACACGAUGGGUCAGUUAAGGCUGGCAUUACCGUGCCGUGAGAAGUGAGAAAAAGUUUCCUCAUUGUAUCAUAUACACUGUGACGUGAUUUUCGACCCACGGUCACAAGGCGACUCCAGCUACCGAUUCAGUCGAGAUGUUCAAAUCUGCCGUGGAGAGGUAGUCUCGACGUACGGAGUUGCCCUGCACAGAAGAGUACCCGACGGAGACGUCUUCACGGACCAGCAGAGGUCCAGGUCAAAUAGAACGGAGAUAGAGGUUUGAUACGGUUCAGAACAGGGGAGGGACCCCUGACCCGAGUUGUGCCGAUGCUGUAAAGAAGCGGCCAAAGUGGAAGAUCUCCACUUUUUAGAAAGUUCUCGCGUUGCCCUCGCAAUAUCCAGAAAAUGGAUUUUCCACGUGCGUUUCGAAGGUGCAGUGCUGCCCCAUAGUGCAGUGCCCACCUGAGCGACCCCUGGAUGCAGUUCUCGGCCUUCACGAAUCAACUGAACCAGCUCCGAUUCCAUACAGAAAUAAGGACAAGAAUUCCCUAGGGAGUCAACGUUGAAUUUCAAUGACAGAAGAGGAAGAUGCGAAUCCUGGCGUAACUCGCAAAUUGGCCAGUGUGUCCUGCGUCGAAUACGUCAGCGGUUGACAAGCCGCUGAGCCAAUUAUGGGCCCGUAUUGGGCCCGUAUUGUUUGCCACGAGGGCUCGUAUACGCAACGCGUAAAUCCAGCCAAGGGACUUGCCUGAAAAGUACUCGCUCUCGUUAAGGGGCAUUCAAUUUUAUCGUGCGGUUGUUACCGGGGCACUCGGUAUAGCACGCACGUUGGCUAUGGUUGGUAUAGGCAUGUACCUGACUACAUUCUGGUUUUGUAUCAGAGUCUGUUUCUUCUUCUUUUUCUUUUGCUUCCAGAAUUUCUUUUACGAGCUGUACAAUUAAAGCAAGCCCAAUGGCAGCUUUGGCCAUUGUUGAUAAUAAUUGCAUGGUUGCUUAUUAAACGUCUCGAGGUGCGCUACAGCUAUUUGUCGAGUACUCGAACUGGCACGGAUCUCGAGCGGGAACACACGUGUACAGUCAGUUGCACGCGUCGACGACACGAAGGUGUUGCCACGCUGGAUACACCAUUCAGACUGGAAGAUGGAAGAUGCAGUUCCCUCGUGUUAAACUCCUGGACCCCAUACAGCCUCUCUCUAGCCCAUCAUCAGCUGUUCCCUUACAGCUUCACAGAACGAGCUAAUAUCGACUCCAUAAUAAGACACCCGGACGUUCUCCAAUGAAAUCAGCAAUUAGACAAUGGGCUUAAAGAUGUUGAUAAUGUCAAUCAAGAGGAUGCUGUACGAUCCCAAUGAUCGGAUGACUCGAGAAUUAAUCACAGCUUGAUAACAACAACAAACGCAAUAGACACCUACGAUAUGCAGGACAUAGGGAGUCAUAUAUAUAAAUAUAUAUUGGAAGUCUAUGAAAAUGCAUCAACCUUUUCUCAUCGCGUGAGCGUGCAAUUGUAUUAGUGCAACCCCAUCAUGCAACGUGAUCCUAAUAAUUCGAAGCGCAAGAUUAUCCGGUUCUUGACGUAGAUUAAUCGAAGGGAUCGGGUCGAUGGAUACCAGCAGGUAUAAAAGAUUAUGAGAAAUUAUUAAUACGUGAAUAUAGUUCGAGUUUAUAGAGCCAAAGUGCUACUCUUUAUGACAAUCUAAAUUAUAUCUAGCAAGUACUUGACUAUAUACGUAACCAGUACCCGAUGAAUUCUAAGCACUGUCACGAUGCGGACUUUUCAUGUGGAGCAAACAAACUUCUCGUUUGUUCAAACAGUCGAACACGCCUGUGUAAAGAUGAUAUUUGCAUAACGUCAAUACAAUCGAGAUGGCCGCCAACGUCAAACUGGUUUUAAACUUUGAGAGCCUGUAUAGUUUGCGCCUGAUGACAAAGUGCUUGGCGUGCGUGCCCCGUGCCUGGCUGUGAGUAACUGUUAUCGUAUCAUCGUGAAAUACCAUUAAUGGCCUGGAGAGUGUUCGUAAUAUAAAUAUCAGAUCAUUAAGCUACCAAUUUAGAACGAUCUAGUGUGUAUAGUGCAUAGGGAAAAUGGACCUACGAAAUUCACUAGCCACAUGUGAAUAUACUGAUGGUUAGUCUGUGGUGUUAAAGGAUUAACGAAGAUUAAUCUAGCGACGGAUGCUGCUUCUUGUACUCUUAUCGGAUGAAAUCGCUCGUCCUUUUUGCCAAGUCAAACUUUCGUGGAAUUACUAUGCACUCGGUGCAACGAUGCUGCAUCGAAGGUGCAUUCAAGAAGUCCUUAAUGGAACAGGUUCCCUGGUCCAUGAGCUCAUAGCUCUGGUGUGCGACCUAUCUCAACAUCCUCAGGAUCUAUCGAUGACGAAACGUGUUGGGAUUAUAUACUUGAUCUUGAUGAUCUUUUAUUUUAAGCCAAGUAUAAUGUCCAAGAUCUUUGUAAGAGAUGCAUUGGAAAACUGUAUUUCGUAACGGGACGUUAAGAAUGGGUAUUUAUCAUAUAUCUAUAAAUUGUUUAGGGUGUUAAAUUUUUUCAUUCUUAAUUACAAAACUCUCACUACUUGGGUAUGGGUGAUGUUGGAGAUAAGUAAGUUGAGGGAUGAAGCGCGAAUAUUUGCUUGGGAAUCGUUUAAACAAAUAUGUACCGAUACGGAUGGGUAUAUGCUGAGGAAUUUGUAAUCCUAUGAAAAUAAGAAUCCAGCCCUCCCUCGGCGAUGAGUGCAAGCACUUUAAGCCAUUUCUAGAAAUGCAUAAAUGUGUGUAGUUCACUUGUGAAUUGACUUGGAAAAUUCGAGAUGUUCACUAGAGUCAAAUUAUUCUUAGCGAAAAUCCAUUAAUCGAUCCCAGUCACAUAAGCCUUCUGGCAUCUGCUUACUGCUUGGUUACUUUAUUGGGCCGUAUAAUCUCCGUUGCGGUAGCCAAAAAAGAAGCCGUCACUUCCAAGGCCCGAUUGUGCCCAUCCUGAAAGAUUAGGCGGUGCCUUUUAAGGACCCAAAAUAACCACUCGAAAAACGUACGAUAACGUCACUUUGUGUAGGAUGUGUUUUGACGUGAGCCAGAGUACCGAUCCUUGUAGAAAAUUUGUCUGCUGUACAAGGACUCGUACGAGAUCCUUAAAAUCUUUUUUUUUUCAAAAAAAAAAAUAUAAUAAAUAAACACACCAAGGAAUUCCACUUAAAUCGCAAUUCCUUGUGACUUCUUUCACCUCACGUUUCACCGAGAGUCCCCGUACGGACUGCAAAGAUUUUCUUUUUCCCGUCUGACUAAAUAAAAUACGCCGUGAACACGAAAGAGAUGUUUCGAUGUUUAAGUCAGUUAAACAGUCACUUUAAAUAAUGCUAAGUUAACUCGAGAAAUAUUUCAUUUAGGCUCACAUCCGGCUACGGCCAUUGACUGAAGUUCAAUUAUUUUUUGAGAGUUAAGAAAUACUUGUUAAAAGGAUAUAGCAUUGAACUUUACAAAAAAGGUACGAAAAUUCAGUCUUAUCAACACAGCUGAUACCAAAAAUAAAAAUCAAGUCGAUAAAAUUCGAACAACGCCUGGACUGCCAUCCAUCGAUCAAAUAUCCUUUUCCGUUAUUUUAAUUCCAACUCCAUCUCGCAGUAAUGCCUCUUUCUUAUGCUACUAUACAUAUGUGACAUAUACUUCCCCACAUAUCCCCAUAUACAUACCUUGUGCAAACAUCUCAGAAAUCAACUAUCCAAAAUGCCCAUGGCCUCGUCAGCAUGCAUAAAUACAUCCUUACAGAUAGGACCAGUUAAAGGAGUUUAGCAUUGAAAUUGUUUCAUUUACAUGCGGCAGAUUUAUCACAGAGAUCUUGAACCUGGAACGCAGGAGUCCCGUACGCCUCGCCCUUCGUCCUUAAGAUACGCCCUUACGACAAUGGAUCCUUUGAAAAAAAUUUGUUAUGCAUACUCGUUCCACUAUAUCAUAGCUUAUAUAUACAUAACCUGGUCAUUCGAAGACUCGGUACGAUUACUGACUUCUCUACUGUUCCCUUCUUUUACUUUAUUUCUCGCAUUUCUCUUCUCAGCUUCAUCCUGUCCCUGUAAGCCUUUACUCAUCCUCAUACGAGUGUCCUAUAUAUAUAUAUUUUUUAUUUUUCUUCUCCUAUAUCUCACUCCUGCACCCUCGUCGUACUUCUCGUAUCGGUGUAUCCAUUUUUUUACCCCUCACUUCUCCGCGAUCCUCGUUCGCACGAGUUUCUUUUUACGAGGCGCCAACGAUCGCCGAUUUGUAGUUUGUAAGUCGUUCAUUAACGUCAAUGGAUAACACAUAUGUCUUCGGACGGGAGACGUGUUCGAAUAAAUUGGCGGGAUACGUGUACGUUAAUGGUGGCGAACUGAGGGAUAUCUUAAAGGAAAAAAAAGUCACUGUAUAACCGAGGAUCGUUGGAAAUAAAUUAUUUCAUGUUAAUAAAUAAUUAAUACGGAUUCGAUGAGUUUUAUGUUUGAUCGAGUAGAGCAAGUCUGCUAAAAAGAAAUGACACCGGUAUUGAGUUAAUGGUGUUUAUACUGUGUAUGCAAUGUUGAAUUCAGGAGGUUUCAUUACGCUGGUACCAUUCACACUGGUACGUUAGCAGCAUCCGAAUGAAGUAAUUAGACCGUAAUAUAAAAUAGCCGGUGUGAUCAAUUUAUGGAUUUAUUACAGUUUUAUUAUAGGGUUAUACGUGUAUUUCUUUGUAACACUUGAGUCUCUUUAGUUUUAUUGAAAUUCCACGAGUUAUGACUCUCCAGGCUGAUUCCUCAUG
Cephus cinctus (wheat stem sawfly) is the source of this 4793-nucleotide long non-coding RNA. RefSeq lists it as uncharacterized. The record is from RefSeq and is a predicted model, not a curated record. The transcript is spliced from 8 exons. Lineage: Eukaryota; Metazoa; Arthropoda; Insecta; Hymenoptera; Cephidae.